GACAUGCAGAGAACUUACCAGAGAUGGAUUGGUGCCUUCGGGAACUCUGACACAGGUGCUGCAUGGCUGUCGUCAGCUCGUGUCGUGAGAUGUUGGGUUAAGUCCCGUAACGGGCGCAACCCUUGUCCUUAGUUACCAGCACGUUAUGGUGGGCACUCUAAGGAGACUGCCGGUGCAAACCGGAGGAAGGUGGGGAUGACGUCAAGUCAUCGUGGCCCUUACGGCCUGGGCUACACACGUGCUACAAUGGUCGGUACAAAGGGUUGCCAAGCCGCGAGGUGGAGCUAAUCCCAUAAAACCGAUCGUAGUCCGGAUCGCAGUCUGCAACUCGACUGCGUGAAGUCGGAAUCGCUAGUAAUCGUGAAUCAGAAUGUCACGGUGAAUACGUUCCCGGGCCUU
Molecule: ribosomal RNA, 399 nt
Filed under: uncultured Pseudomonas sp.
Lineage: Bacteria; Pseudomonadati; Pseudomonadota; Gammaproteobacteria; Pseudomonadales; Pseudomonadaceae
Description: bacterial SSU rRNA
Rfam family: Bacterial small subunit ribosomal RNA
Source: RNAcentral